AUUGAACGCUGGCGGCAUGCCUUACACAUGCAAGUCGAACGGCAGCGGGGGAGAAGCUUGCUUUUCCUGCCGGCGAGUGGCGAACGGGUGAGUAAUACAUCGGAACGUGCCCUGUAGUGGGGAUAACUAGUCGAAAGAUUAGCUAAUACCGCAUACGACCUGAGGGUGAAAGUGGGGGACCGCAAGGCCUCAUGCUAUAGGAGCGGCCGAUGUCUGAUUAGCUAGUUGGUGGGGUAAAGGCCUACCAAGGCGACGAUCAGUAGCUGGUCUGAGAGGACGAUCAGCCACACUGGGACUGAGACGCGGCCCAGACUCCUGCGGGAGGCAGCAGUGGGGAAUUUUGGACAAUGGGCGAAAGCCUGAUCCAGCAAUGCCGCGUGUGUGAAGAAGGCCUUCGGGUUGUAAAGCACUUUUGUCCGGAAAGAAAUGGCUCUGGUUAAUACCUGGGGUCGAUGACGGUACCGGAAGAAUAAGGACCGGCUAACUACGUGCCAGCCGCCGCCGUAA
RNAcentral lists this ribosomal RNA (507 nucleotides) under uncultured bacterium. Its description in RNAcentral is "partial 16S ribosomal RNA". It matches the Rfam family "Bacterial small subunit ribosomal RNA", at positions 30 to 523 of the family's 1533-position model. The record is from RNAcentral.